RNAcentral lists this ribosomal RNA (539 nucleotides) under uncultured archaeon. RNAcentral describes it as "bacterial SSU rRNA". It matches the Rfam family "Archaeal small subunit ribosomal RNA", at positions 460 to 997 of the family's 1478-position model. The record is from RNAcentral.
CGACGCCGCGGGUAACACCGGCAGCUCUAGUGGUAGCAGUUUAUGGGCCUAAAGCGUCCGUAGCCGGUUUAAUAAGUCUCUGGUGAAAUCCUGUAGCUUAACUGUGGGAAUUGCUGGAGAUACUAUUAGACUUGAGACCGGGAGAGGUUAGAGGUACUCCCAGGGUAGAGGUGAAAUUCUGUAAUCCUGGGAGGACCGCCUGUUGCGAAGGCGUCUAACUGGAACGGUUCUGACGGUGAGGGACGAAAGUUAGGGGCGCGAAACCGGAUUAGAUACCCGGGUAGUCCUAACCGUAAACGAUGCGGACUUGGUGUUGGGGUGGCUUUGAGCUGCUCCAGUGCCGAAGGGAAGCUGUUAAGUCCGCCGCCUGGGAAGUACGGUCGCAAGACUGAAACUUAAAGGAAUUGGCGGGGAGCACCACAACGCGUGGAGCCUGCGGUUUAAUUUGGAUUCAACGCCGGACAUCUCACCAGAGGCGACAGCUGUAUGAUAGCCAGGCUGAUGACUUUGCUUGACUAGCUGAGAGGAGUGGUGCAUGG